Long non-coding RNA from Stegastes partitus (bicolor damselfish), 1611 nucleotides. RefSeq lists it as uncharacterized. The transcript has 2 exons. NCBI's taxonomy places the organism in Eukaryota, Metazoa, Chordata, Actinopteri, Pomacentridae. The record is from RefSeq and is a predicted model, not a curated record.
UCACGGCUUUUUACGGUAUGUUAAGUUUUUGUAAGCUAAGCAGUUUUUAGCUAGCAAAGACAACAAGCAGGCUAACGUGAGCUACAUGCUUUAAUCAGUUUUAUUAUAUGCAUGUAGCAUGUUUUAUUCAGCGGUCUGUUUCCGGAUGGUCGUUCUUCAAGGCCAGGAUACAGUCAGUUCCAACAUUUUUAAAGGAGACAGACAAAAAUAAUGUAUAUAAAUAACACUGACACUUAAACAUGAUUUAAUAUUUUUUUUAAUAUCUAUGUUUAAGAUACACAUUCAGUUCCAACAUUUGUAAAGGAAACAGGCAAAAAUAAUUUUUAAUAACUUUUUCAUUUUCCAGAAUGAAGCUCAAACAAAGAUGAAGUAUGUAUUUACAGAUACACAGCAAUGGCAGUCUUUAAUAUCAACAUGCAUCAUCCAACAUUAUAUAUAAUGCCAUGCUAUAUAAUAUAUAAGUUGUCGAUGUCUCGGAGGCUGUGUUAGUUUGAGGAUCUGUCAUUGUUGGGACAAAGGUUGUCGAUGAUGCAACAUGAUCUUUUGGAUGAACAAAUGUAGAUUCACCUCCCAAUGCACUUCCAGAUACACUCCCCAGUAUACCUCCCAGUGUACCAGCUAUGCCUCCAAACACUCUACAACUUCCUCCUCAACAAACAGAUGGAGCUUCAUCAUUUCCUCCUUGUCCAUUGUCCCCCUUAUUUUCUGAGUUGUUCUCUUUUUUCUUUUAAGUAGUACUAGUAGCAGUAGCAGUAGCAAUAGCAGUACAGCACAUACAACACAAAGCACUAACCAAUAAUACAGCUGUUGUGGGAAUAAAGGAACAAUAGUUGGACUAGGCUGCCCGAAAAGGACUGUAGCUUGGAGUUUAACAGUGGUAGGAAUAUAAGUUGUCAGUGUCUGGGAGGUUGUUUCAUUUUGGGGAUCGGUACUUGCAGGAUAAAAGGUAAUUGGUGUCUGGGAGGUUGUUUGGGGAUCAAUAGUUGGAGCAAUAAAUGUUGCCACUGUCUGAGAGAUUGCGUAAGUUUGUGGGUCAAUAGUUGCAGGACUAAAUGUUGUUGAUGUCUGGGAAGUUGUGUUAGUUUUGGGAUCAAUGGUUGCAGGAAUAAAGGUUGUCGAUGUCUGAGAAGUUGCAUUAGUUUGUGGGUCAAUAGUUGCAGAAAUAAAAGUUGUUAAAGUCUGGGAGGUUGUGUUUGUUUGGGGAUCCAUGGUUGUUGGAAUAGAGGUUGUUGAUUUCUGGGAUGUUGUGUUUGUUUGGGGAUCAACAGUUGGAGCAAUAAACGUUGUCACUGCCUGAGAAGUUGCAUUAGUUUUUGGAUCAAUAGUUGCUGGAAUAAAUUCUGUUGAUGUCUGGGAGGUUGUGUUUGUUUGGGGAUCAACAGUUGGAGCAACAAAGGUUGUCACUGUCUGAGAAGUUGUACUAGUUUGUGGCUCAAUAGUUGCAGGAAUAAAAGUUGUCGAAGUCUGGAAGGUUGUGUUAGUUUUGGGAUCAAUGGUUGCCGGAAUAGAGGUUGUUGAUGUCUGGGAGGCUGUGUCUGUUUGGGGAUCAGUAGUUGGAGCAAUAAAGGUCGUCACUGCCUGAGAGGUUGCAAUAGUUUGUGUGUCAAUCGU